CCUACGGGAGGCAGCAGUGGGGAAUCUUUCACAAUGGGGGAAACCCUGAUGCAGCGACGCCGCGUGGGUGACGAAGGAUUUCGGUAUGUAAAGCCCUAUCAGCAGGGAAGAAGAUGACAGUACCUGACUAAGAAGCCCCGGCUAACUACGUGCCAGCAGCCGCGGUAAUACGUAGGGGGCAAGCGUUAUCCGGAUUUACUGGGUGUAAAGGGAGCGUAGGUGGCAUGGCAAGCCAGAAGUGAAAACCCGGGGCUUAACCCUGCCGAUUACUUUUGGAACUGUCAGGCUGGAGUGCAGGAGGGGCAAGCGGAAUUGCUGGUGUAGGGGUGAAAUGCGUAGAUAUCAGGAGGAACACCGGUGGCGAAGGCGGCCUGCUGGGCUGUAACUGACACUGAGGCACGAAAGCGUAGGGAGCAAACAGGAUUAGAUACCCGGGUAGUC
RNAcentral lists this ribosomal RNA (441 nucleotides) under uncultured bacterium. RNAcentral describes it as "partial 16S ribosomal RNA". It matches the Rfam family "Bacterial small subunit ribosomal RNA", at positions 338 to 795 of the family's 1533-position model. The record is from RNAcentral.